This 497-nucleotide ribosomal RNA is filed under the name uncultured bacterium. Its description in RNAcentral is "partial 16S ribosomal RNA". It matches the Rfam family "Bacterial small subunit ribosomal RNA", at positions 28 to 507 of the family's 1533-position model. The record is from RNAcentral.
GAUGAACGCUGGCGGCGUGCCUAAUACAUGCAAGUCGAGCGAACAGACGAGGAGCUUGCUCCUCUGACGUUAGCGGCGGACGGGUGAGUAACACGUGGAUAACCUACCUAUAAGACUGGGAUAACUUCGGGAAACCGGAGCUAAUACCGGAUAAUACAUUGAACCGCAUGGUUCAAUAGUGAAAGACGGUUUUGCUGUCACUUAUAGAUGGAUCCGCGCCGCAUUAGCUAGUUGGUAAGGUAACGGCUUACCAAGGCAACGAUGCGUAGCCGACCUGAGAGGGUGAUCGGCCACACUGGAACUGAGACACGGUCCAGACUCCCACGGGAGGCAGCAGUAGGGAAUCUUCCGCAAUGGGCGAAAGCUUGACGGAGCAACGCCGCGUGAGUGAUGAAGGUCUUCGGAUCGUAAAACUCUGUUAUUAGGGAAGAACAAAUGUGUAAGUAACUAUGCACGUCUUGACGGUACCUAAUCAGAAAGCCACGGCUAACUACGUG